UGUGGGGCUUAGUGGUAGAGCACUUGCUUAGCAUGCACAAGGCCCUGGGUUCGGUCCCCAGUGUUACAA
Molecule: transfer RNA, 69 nt
Filed under: Marmota monax (woodchuck)
Lineage: Eukaryota; Metazoa; Chordata; Mammalia; Rodentia; Sciuridae
Description: tRNA.Ala
Source: RNAcentral